ACGUUUGCGAAAAGAUCACAACAGUAGCUGAAUAAAGCUACAUUGUGAACAUUCUCCAAAAGCCCUCAGCCAAGUCACUUCCAAGCGCACAGGCACUGUAAUGGUGGACAUUAGGAAAAUCUGUUGCUAGAGGGCUGUGCAAACUUCAGCAAAUAAACAGAGCGCAUUACAAACUGAACUACCGUUUUUCUAAAGCAACUCAAAAUGCAAACAAUUCAAAUUACUCUUUUGCAGUCUGCACCAAGCACCCAGUUUGUUGACUUCACAGGAAACAUGCAGCCAUCAUAUUCCCCCUCAAGGCUUCUUCUGGAUGCUUGAGCUGUCCAGGGACAGCUCCACCUUUGUAAAUAAUAAAUGAGACCUCACUCUUAAAAGGAUCGUACUUGCUUAAUUGCUUUACAGUACAAUGCACAUAUAGAUACAGAAGCUGAUGAGCUCCAAAGCAGCACUACACCAUACUGUCAAGUACCUGCUUGCGGGAGAGGACCUUCCUGGUUACUGCAGGAUGAGAAGAUGCAGCACAAAGCUGGAGCACGCUACAGGCAUUGCUGCCUACAGACUCACAACAGCAAAUGCAGUCUCCUAUUGAUUUCAGUUUCACUUCAUGAGGCCUAUUUUUGUUUAACUCCUGCUUCACCAAAUAAAGCCGUUUUCCAGUUGCCACUCUCCCAGUAAUGCAAGGUAAAAGAUUCAGAGUUUUGAGAGAACUUCCUGGAAAAACUGGGAACCUGCUGUUGCUUCAGAUUACUGCAGAAGCCUUGUUUCUCCUCAGUCAGCUUCUGAGGACUGAGACAGAAGAAAGGAGGCCCACAGUCUGCCUCACCGACCUGGUAUGGCUGAGCCAGGGCGACUCCAACCGCCUGCAAUCAGCACGGCUCCUCGGUUUGCCACCAUCUGUGCUGCGCACCCGCAGCUUCUCAAGAGAUGCUCUAAGAGGAAAACAUGAUGAUUAUACGAUGAGCUGUCACUCAGCUACAACCCACUCUGUUCUAUUACUGCUCACUACAGCUGCUUAAACAUUCAGUCAGCUCAGCUGCCUUUUAUAUUCAUUACAUGCAGAAAUUCUCUAAUGUCCCUUAUCACACAAGGCAAUCCCUGUCCUCACAGUCCAACCCGAUUUGAUCUCUUCUGGCUUUGUUAGCAUUCAGGAUUGAUUUGUGAAAUAGAAGAGGAAUCCUGCUUCGAUACCAUUUGAAUUCCUACACCACAUACAUUUUUCUCAGUCCUUCCUUUUGGUCUCUAGAAAACUGAGGUUACACGGUACAGUGCACCAUUUGCAUAUCAAAAGCAACAGCACUUCAUGCAAAAGUGAAAUGCAACCAGUUUUCUGCUUUCAGGAAGAGCUCAAGACUUGAAAAGCACUUCCUUCCUCUGAAUCUUUAACUCUAAAUUCAGAUGUAGCUUAGCCCAUCACCAGUGGCUCAGAUAAAUAGCUUAUAACUGAAGAAGCUCCUCCACUGCCACCCGAUACAUGUUUGCCAAAAACAGAGGUCAUUUUCCUUCCAGAUCCUUUUCCAACAGAACAGUUAAAAACUUUAUAGUCGUAAAUGAAUGAACAUAAUUAAGAAAACAGUUCAAGUGCUCAAAAAAAUCAUAAAGAAACAAUUCUAAUUUAUCUCAAGUUACCUACAACUUGUGUGAAUGACGCCAAUCCUCCUACAGAGAGCGUUUCAAUGUCUUUUUUUCAAGCUGGCCACCAUAGCCUCAGACAUAUCACAUUUUGUUAUUACAGUGAUCAAGAUGACUCUGUUCUCAUUUAUGACUGGUUUGUGGCAUCAAUGCCAACAACAUCCCCAUCUAGAAAUAUACCUGGCCAGCCUAGACAGAGCAACGCGGUGGGGACAGAGGAAUGACUGAUAGAGAAUGCCAGCUGCUCAGCACUGUGCCUGGCUGCUCUUGGUGCAGACAGUGGGUGGUCCUCGAGCUGCCCCUGGCCCUGCCAAAUCCCUCCUCUGUUACUUCUCACUGUUAGAAAUGGUGAUGUAUUUCCAAAUGCUACCACAAGAAUACACUGACCAAUUUGUGCAUCAUGUUUCACAAAACAGGUCUGUCUGCUUCAGUCGACUUAAAAGAAAAUCAGCUAGCAGACAGCUCUUAUGGUCCAAGAACCAUGCUACAAUAGAGUAUACUGGAUCAUACAUUCAUUUGAUUUGUACCAGCCAGUCAAGAUUGUUUCUCAUUCCUAAGUCACCUUAAACCCUUCUUAAACCCUCACAGAUAAUCUGAAAUUUAUCCCCAUACAUCUUCAGUUACAGUUAGAUCAUUUAAAUAAAUUACACUGGAUCACAAGCA
Molecule: long non-coding RNA, 2292 nt
Organism: Numida meleagris (helmeted guineafowl)
Lineage: Eukaryota; Metazoa; Chordata; Aves; Galliformes; Numididae
Source: Ensembl